This 1961-nucleotide ribosomal RNA is filed under the name human gut metagenome. Its description in RNAcentral is "bacterial LSU rRNA". It matches the Rfam family "Bacterial large subunit ribosomal RNA", at positions 1 to 1989 of the family's 2925-position model. The record is from RNAcentral.
CACUACAAGGAAGGGCGCAUGGAGGAUGCCUUGGCUCUCGGAGGCGACGAAGGACGCGACAAGCUGCGAAAAGCCGCGGCGAGGGGCAAAUACCCGUCGACCCGCGGAUGUCCGAAUGGGGCAACCCGGCGGAAGCGAUUCCGUCAUCCGUGUGAACACGGAAGCGAACGCGGGGAACUGAAACAUCUUAGUACCCGCAGGAAGAGAAAGUAAUAACGAUUCCCCCAGUAGAGGCGAUCGAACGGGGAAUAGCCCAAACCGCCACCGUGGCGACGCGGCGGCGGGGUUGUAGGACCGCUCAAGGGCUGGUGCAAUGCGAGGAGAAGCGCAUGGAACGGCGCGCCGCAGCGGGUGAGAGCCCCGUAUCCGAAGCAGCGUACCACAGGAGCGGCACCUGAGUAAGCCGGGACACGAGGAAUCCCGGCCGAAUCCGCGGGGACCAUCCCGCAAGGCUAAAUACUACCGAGAGACCGAUAGCGAACCAGUACCGUGAGGGAAAGGUGAAAAGGACCCCGGAAGGGGAGUGAAAGAGACCCUGAAACCAUGCGCCUACAAGCGGUCGGAGCUCCGUUAGUGGAGUGACGGCGUGCCUUUUGCAUAAUGAGCCUGCGAGUUGCGGUCGCCGGCGAGGCUAAGUCACGCAGUGACGGAGCCGGAGCGAAAGCGAGUCCGAAGAGGGCGCGGAGUCGGCGGCUGCAGACGCGAAACCGGGUGAUCUACGCAUGGGCAGGCUGAAGGCUGGGUAACACCAGCUGGAGGGCCGAACCGGUAAGCGUUGAAAAGCUUUCGGAUGACCUGUGCGUAGGAGUGAAAGGCCAAUCAAACCCGGAGAUAGCUCGUACUCCCCGAAAUGCAUUUAGGUGCAGCCUCGGGCCAGACCGACGGAGGUAGAGCGACCGAUAGGGUGCGAGGGCUUCGCCGCCUAUCAAGCCCUGACGAACUCCGAAUGCCGUCGGCCGGUGCCCGGGAGUGAGGGCGCGGGUGCUAAGGUCCGCGUCCGAGAGAGGAACAACUCAGACCACCGUCUAAGGCCCCCAAAUCCGGGCCGAGUUGAAGCCAAUAACGAGGUGGGACCGCACAGACAGUUAGGAUGUUGGCUUGGAAGCAGCCAUUCAUUCAAAGAGUGCGUAACAGCUCACUAAUCGAGCGGUCCCGCGUGGAUAAUAAUCGGGCAUAAGUCCGGUGCCGAAGACGUGGAAUCCGUCAAAUAGAUGGAUUGGUAGGGGAGCAUUCCGCCGCCGGCGAAGGCGGGCCGCGAGGCCUGCUGGAGGCCGCGGAAAAGCAAAUGCAGGCAUAAGUAACGACAAAGGGGGCGGGAAACCCCCUCGCCGGAAGGCCAAGGGUUCCUGAUCAACGCUAAUCGGAUCAGGGUAAGCCGGGACCUAAGCGGAAGCCGCGAGGCGUACGCGAUGGACAAACGGUGAAGAUUCCGUUGCCCCCGGCCUGUUAGCCCCGUCGAUGACGGAGGAGCGAAAGACGCGCGCGCUGACGGAACAGCGCGUUGAAGGGAGGUAGCCGCAAGGCGAGACCCGACAGUACGCGGAGGCUUCGGCCGAAGCGACAGCCGUACCGUAGCAUACUCCCGAGAAAAGUCGACGCGAGGCGUUCGAGCAGGCCGGGGCCCGUACCGCAAACCGACACAGGUGGCCGGGUAGAGCAUACCGAGGCGCUCGAGAGAUUCACGGUCAAGGAACUAGGCAAACUGGCCCCGUAACUUCGGGAGAAGGGGCCCUCGUUUAAGAAGCGAGGCGCAGAGAAUAAGUCCAGGCAACUGUUUAGCAAAAACACAGGGCUGUGCCAAGCCGCAAGGCGCCGCAUACAGCCUGACACCUGCCCGGUGCCGGAAGGUUAAGCGGAGCUGUCAUCGCGAGAGAAGCAGCGAAGUGAAGCCCCGGUAAACGGCGGCCGUAACUAUAACGGUCCUAAGGUAGCGAAAUUCCUUGUCGGGUAAGUUCCGACCU